Molecule: long non-coding RNA, 210 nt
Filed under: Elaeis guineensis (African oil palm)
Lineage: Eukaryota; Viridiplantae; Streptophyta; Magnoliopsida; Arecales; Arecaceae
Description: long non-coding RNA (EGUI_LNC032668)
Source: RNAcentral
GGGUUUAAAUAUAAAGGAUGGAUGGGGACUAUGAGAUUGUGGUGGGAUAUUAAAAAAUAAAUAAGACUCGUUUAAUUUAUGGAAAAGAUUUUUUCUUUCAGAAAGUAACUUCUUAAAAAAUUAAUUUUUGAAAAGUUAUUUUUUGAAAAUAGAAUUCUGACAUGUUUGGUUGAUCAUGAGAAAAUAACUUAUUAUUGGGGUAAACCGACC